Molecule: ribosomal RNA, 478 nt
Filed under: uncultured Pelotomaculum sp.
Lineage: Bacteria; Bacillati; Bacillota; Clostridia; Eubacteriales; Desulfotomaculaceae
Description: bacterial SSU rRNA
Rfam family: Bacterial small subunit ribosomal RNA
Source: RNAcentral
UAGAAUUGACGGGGCCCGCACAAGCGGUGGAGCAUGUGGUUAAUUCGACGCAACGCGAAGAACCUUACCAGGGCUUGACAUCCCCUGACCGCGUAUGAAAGUACGUUUUCACCCUCGGGUGACAGGGAGACAGGUGGUGCAUGGUUGUCGUCAGCUCGUGUCGUGAGAUGUUGGGUUAAGUCCCGCAACGAGCGCAACCCCUACGUUUAGUUGCUAACAGGUGAAGCUGAGCACUCUAGACGAACUGCCGUUGACAAAACGGAGGAAGGUGGGGAUGACGUCAAAUCAUCAUGCCCCUUAUGUUCUGGGCUACACACGUGCUACAAUGGCCGGUACAGACGGAGGCGAAGCCGCGAGGCGGAGCAAAUCCGAAAAAGCCGGUCUCAGUUCGGAUUGCAGGCUGCAAUUCGCCUGCAUGAAGUCGGAAUCGCUAGUAAUCGCAGGUCAGCAUACUGCGGUGAAUACGUUCCCGGGCCUU